AGUGUGAGUACUGUAGGGACUGCUGAGGGACUGUAAAUACUGUAAGUAGUGUGAGUACUGUAGGGACUGCUGAAGGUACUGUAGGUACUGUAGGGACUGCUGAAGGGACUGUAGGGACUGCUGUACCUACUGUAGGUACUGUAGGGACUGCUGAGGGACUGUAAAUACUGUAAGUAGUGUGAGUACUGUAGGGACUGCUGAAGGUACUGUAGGUACUGUAGGGACUGCUGAAGGGACUGUAGGGACUGCUGUACCUACUGUAUGUACUGUAGGGACUGCUGAAGGGACUGUAGGUACUGUAGGGACUGCUGAGGGACUGUAAAUACUGUAAGUAGUGUGAGUACUGUAGGGACUGCUGAAGGUACUGUAGGUACUGUAGGGACUGCUGAAGGGACUGUAGGGACUGCUGUACCUACUGUAGGUACUGUAGGGACUGUAGGGACUGCUGAAGGUACUGUAUGUACUGUAGGGACUGCUGAAGGGACUGUAGGGACUGCUGUACCUACUGUAGGUACUGUAGGGACUGUAGGGACUGCUGAAGGUACUGUAGGUACUGUAGGGACUGCUGAAGGUACUGUAGGGACUGUAGGGACUGCUGUACCUACUGUAGGUACUGUAGGUACUGUAGGGACUGCUGAAGGUACUGUAGGUACUGUAGGGACUGCUGAAGGGACUGUAGGGACUGCUGAAGGUACUGUAGGUACUGUAGGGACUGCUGAAGGUACUGUAGGUACUGUAGGGACUGCU
Epinephelus fuscoguttatus (brown-marbled grouper) is the source of this 747-nucleotide long non-coding RNA. RefSeq lists it as uncharacterized. The record is from RefSeq and is a predicted model, not a curated record. NCBI's taxonomy places the organism in Eukaryota, Metazoa, Chordata, Actinopteri, Perciformes, Serranidae. The transcript is spliced from 5 exons.